GCCACCUUGUUCCGAUAGCUCCUGAAAUAGCCAACUUCAACUGUAAUUCAAAAUCUUAUAAUCAAUUUAUAUCAAAUCUCCAAUAGAGAAAUUAGCUUUUCCUCUCAUUUUUCAAAUCAAGGGAAAUCUUCAUGAUUCAUGGAAAAACUUGCAUGGCAGUUCUUUGGAAAACAAAUUAACCCUUCUACACUGUUACAAUCUGCAUUCUUUGACGUAUGGACACAAAUGCUGUGUUUUGACAUGCUUCCCCCAUGCUGGAGAGACAAGCAGAUACUGGAAUAAUGAUGAGACGCAUGGCUAAAAAUAUUUUUUGACACUUCAGUUUAUAUGCUUGAGGAAAGAACACAAGAAUGUAAAACAUGCUUUUAAUCGAAUGAACAUGCCAAGAAGUUGAAUGCAAAAGGAGGAAGAAAUCAACCAUAUUU
Molecule: unclassified non-coding RNA, 425 nt
Filed under: Hevea brasiliensis (rubber tree)
Lineage: Eukaryota; Viridiplantae; Streptophyta; Magnoliopsida; Malpighiales; Euphorbiaceae
Source: RNAcentral